This is a long non-coding RNA of Passer montanus (Eurasian tree sparrow), 749 nucleotides long. RefSeq lists it as uncharacterized. NCBI's taxonomy places the organism in Eukaryota, Metazoa, Chordata, Aves, Passeriformes, Passeridae. The record is from RefSeq and is a predicted model, not a curated record. The transcript is spliced from 4 exons.
GGGCUGGAUUUGGGAAUUUGUGCUGGAUUAGGAAUUUGUGCUGGAUUAGGAAUUUAUGCUGUUCCUGUGCAGGGAGCAGAGACAGAUUGGGAAUUUGUGCUGGAUUGGGAAUUUGUGCUGUUCCUGUGCGGGGAACAGGGGCAGAUUGGGAAUUUGUCCUGUUCCUAUCUGUCCUCACAGUGAUCCACCCCAAAAUCCACUGGGGUUUUUUGCCCUCCUUCAAAAUCACUUCCCUGGCAAGAAAAGAGAACAAAGAUUUGCCCAGCAAUAAAAUGCUCCUAAAAUUCCUGCAGGAAUGGGGGCGCCAGGCAGGAAAAUACCACGGAAAAAUGAGCAAUGAAAUCUUCCCUUCUCCAUUUACCAUCCCUGCUCCUUUCUGCCUCCUGGAAAGUGGCCCUGGACAAGGCUGGAGUGGUCACCACCUAAUCCAAGGCAUCUCCAACAGGAAAAGGAAGUCGUUAAGAUUUUGGGAGAGAAAGGGUCAAGCUUUGGUUGGACAAUUCCGGAGCAGGAGCGGAUCUGAAUGGGAGCCAGGCUGAGUUUCCUGCUGGGAUGGAGGAAUGAGGCUGGACAGGAGCAUCCAGGAGCCAGGAGAGCAGGGAGACACCGACCUCCUCUUCCAGGCACCGCCGUGUGGGAAACCAGCGGAUUCCCAUCCAAACCCGAGGCUAACCCAGCCCUUCCUGCUCCAGCAGCACCUGGAGCAAACAGCCCCAACAAGCCCUCUCCUUCCCAGGAACAGAAAUAGA